AGAGUUUGAUCCUGGCUCAGAUUGAACGCUGGCGGAAUGCUUUACACAUGCAAGUCGAACGGUAGAGGGGGCAACCCCUUGAGAGUGGCGAACGGGUGAGUAAUAUAUCGGAACGUGCCCAGUCGUGGGGGAUAACGUAGCGAAAGUUACGCUAAUACCGCAUACGAUCUAAGGAUGAAAGCGGGGGAUCGCAAGACCUCGCGCGAUUGGAGCGGCCGAUAUCAGAUUAGGUAGUUGGUGGGGUAAAGGCUCACCAAGCCAACGAUCUGUAGCUGGUCUGAGAGGACGACCAGCCACACUGGAACUGAGACACGGUCCAGACUCCUACGGGAGGCAGCAGUGGGGAAUUUUGGACAAUGGACGCAAGUCUGAUCCAGCCAUUCCGCGUGCAGGAUGAAGGCCCUCGGGUUGUAAACUGCUUUUGUACGGAACGAAAAGGUUUCCAUUAAUACUGGGGGCUCAUGACGGUACCGUAAGAAUAAGCACCGGCUAACUACGUGCCAGCAGCCGCGGUAAUACGUAGGGUGCAAGCGUUAAUCGGAAUUACUGGGCGUAAAGCGUGCGCAGGCGGUUAUGUAAGACAGAGGUGAAAUCCCCGGGCUCAACCUGGGAACUGCCUUUGUGACUGCAUAGCUAGAGUACGGUAGAGGGGGAUGGAAUUCCGCGUGUAGCAGUGAAAUGCGUAGAUAUGCGGAGGAACACCGAU
RNAcentral lists this ribosomal RNA (706 nucleotides) under uncultured Limnohabitans sp. RNAcentral describes it as "bacterial SSU rRNA". It matches the Rfam family "Bacterial small subunit ribosomal RNA", at positions 8 to 713 of the family's 1533-position model. Lineage: Bacteria; Pseudomonadati; Pseudomonadota; Betaproteobacteria; Burkholderiales; Comamonadaceae. The record is from RNAcentral.